AGAUUGAACGCUGGCGGCAGGCCUAACACAUGCAAGUCGAGCGGCAGCACGGGUACUUGUACCUGGUGGCGAGCGGCGGACGGGUGAGUAAUGCCUAGGAAUCUGCCUGGUAGUGGGGGAUAACGCUCGGAAACGGACGCUAAUACCGCAUACGUCCUACGGGAGAAAGCAGGGGACCUUCGGGCCUUGCGCUGUCAGAUGAGCCUAGGUCGGAUUAGCUAGUUGGUGAGGUAAUGGCUCACCAAGGCGACGAUCCGUAACUGGUCUGAGAGGAUGAUCAGUCACACUGGAACUGAGACACGGGUCCAGACCUCCCCGACGGGGAGGCAAGCGAAGGUGGGGGAA
RNAcentral lists this ribosomal RNA (345 nucleotides) under uncultured soil bacterium. RNAcentral describes it as "bacterial SSU rRNA". It matches the Rfam family "Bacterial small subunit ribosomal RNA", at positions 26 to 362 of the family's 1533-position model. The record is from RNAcentral.